RNAcentral lists this ribosomal RNA (468 nucleotides) under uncultured bacterium. RNAcentral describes it as "partial 16S ribosomal RNA". It matches the Rfam family "Bacterial small subunit ribosomal RNA", at positions 28 to 507 of the family's 1533-position model. The record is from RNAcentral.
GACGAACGCUGGCGGCGUGCUUAACACAUGCAAGUCGAACGGAAAGGCCCUGCUUUUGUGGGGUGCUCGAGUGGCGAACGGGUGAGUAACACGUGAGUAACCUGCCCUUGACUGUGGGAUAAGUUAAGGAAACUGGGGCUAAUACCGGAUAGGAGCUCCUGGUGCAUGGUGGGGGUUGGAAAGUUUCGGCGGUUGGGGAUGGACUCGCGGCGGAUCAGCUUGUUGGUGGGGUAGUGGCUUACCAAGGCUUUGACGGGUAGCCGGCCUGAGAGGGUGACCGGCCACAUUGGGACUGAGAUACGUCCCAGACUCCUACGGGAGGCAGCAGUGGGGAAUAUUGCACAAUGGGCGGAAGCCUGAUGCAGCAACGCCGCGUGCGGGAUGACGGCCUUCGGGUUGUAAACCGCUUUCGCCUGUGACGAAGCGUGAGUGACGGUAAUGGGUAAACAAGCACCGGCUAACUACGUG